RNAcentral lists this ribosomal RNA (174 nucleotides) under Escherichia coli. RNAcentral describes it as "partial 16S ribosomal RNA". It matches the Rfam family "Bacterial small subunit ribosomal RNA", at positions 1 to 168 of the family's 1533-position model. The record is from RNAcentral. RNAcentral also lists the same sequence under 1 other name. Lineage: Bacteria; Pseudomonadati; Pseudomonadota; Gammaproteobacteria; Enterobacterales; Enterobacteriaceae.
AAAUUGAAGAGUUUGAUCAUGGCUCAGAUUGAACGCUGGCGGCAGGCCUAACACAUGCAAGUCGAACGGUAACAGGAAGCAGCUUGCUGCUUUGCUGACGAGUGGCGGACGGGUGAGUAAUGUCUGGGAAACUGCCUGAUGGAGGGGGAUAACUACUGGAAACGGUAGCUAAUA